Molecule: ribosomal RNA, 831 nt
Filed under: uncultured bacterium
Lineage: Bacteria
Description: bacterial SSU rRNA
Rfam family: Bacterial small subunit ribosomal RNA
Source: RNAcentral
AGGGCAACCUGAGUAGAAGCGGCGCACGGGUGCGUAACACGUGGGUAAUCUGCCUCAAAGUUUGGGAUAACCUUCCGAAAGGUUGGCUAAUACCGGAUAAGCUCACGAGGUCUUCGGACUUUGUGGGAAAAGGUGGCCUCUAUUUAUAAGCCAUCACUUUGAGAUGAGCCCGCGGCCCAUCAGCUAGUUGGCGGGGUAACGGCCCACCAAGGCUACGACGGGUAGCUGGUCUGAGAGGACGAUCAGCCACACUGGAACUGAGACACGGUCCAGACUCCUACGGGAGGCAGCAGUGGGGAAUUUUGCACAAUGGGCGAAAGCCUGAUGCAGCAACGCCGCGUGUGUGAUGAAGGUCUUCGGAUCGUAAAGCACUUUCGACCGGGACGAACAACCUCUGGCUAACAGUCAGGGGCCUGACGGUACCGGGAGAAGAAGCACCGGCUAACUCUGUGCCAGCAGCCGCGGUAAUACAGAGGGUGCAAGCGUUGUUCGGAAUUAUUGGGCGUAAAGCGCGUGUAGGCGGCUUGUUAAGUCGGGUGUGAAAGCCCUCAGCUCAACUGAGGAAGGGCGCCCGAAACUGGCGAGCUUGAGUGUCGGAGAGGAUGGCGGAAUACCCCAAGUAGAGGUGAAAUUCGUAGAUAUGGGGUGGAACACCGGUGGCGAAGGCGGCCAUCUGGACGACAACUGACGCUGAGACGCGAAAGCGUGGGGAGCAAACAGGAUUAGAUACCCUGGUAGUCCACGCCGUAAACGAUGAGAACUAGGUGUCGUGGGUGUUGACCCCUGCGGUGCCGUAGCUAACGCAUUAAGUUCUCCGCCUGGAAGACGUGC